Long non-coding RNA from Pseudoliparis swirei, 663 nucleotides. RefSeq lists it as uncharacterized. NCBI's taxonomy places the organism in Eukaryota, Metazoa, Chordata, Actinopteri, Perciformes, Liparidae. The transcript has 4 exons. The record is from RefSeq and is a predicted model, not a curated record.
ACCUAUUUUGCAUGCAAAUUACAUGAAUACCUUUAAAUAAAAAUCCAUAUUUUAAAUGAAAUAAUUUAUUUCUACCCAAAUCCUACCAAACUGACUCCAGAUCAGCACGUACACACAUGGACAUGGGACACGCCCACAUACACACACGCACCUAAAGCUCUCGCCGCUCUCAGUCUCCCGCGACCCGCUCGAUCCUAACUCUGGUCUGGUAGUUAGUGUAGCUAGCUACACUGGAGAAACAUGCCACCCGGUAAGUGGGCUAAAUACGGGAAGAAAUAUACGAAAGAAUGGGAAAGUGAAAACGGAAUUAAAGAAUGGAUAGAACGGGCUGGGGAUGAUACCAAAGCUUUUUGUCGGUACUGCAAAACCGAGAUUCGUGCGCACCACAGUGAUCUCCAAAACCACAGCAAAACGGGGAAACACAUUCGAAAUGCUGCUCCGUUCUCCAGUUGUCGAGCAGGGAGGAAGAGAGAAAAGGAAGAAAGCCUCAAGACAAAGCAACAGACCUGGCAACCCUGAGCUCCAGAGCCACGAGGAGGAACACGCAGCCAGAAGAGAUCCACUUGGACGGAGAGGAUUCACCAGCACCUGCAGUGCAGCCUGCAGAUCCACCUGCAGCCCCACCUGCAGCCCCACCUGCAGCUCUACCUGUCCGGCCAGCAA